GAGAGAGAGAGAGGAAGUUCUUGAGAGAAAAUCCCAAUCCGAUCAAAAUUCGAGUUCCGAAAUCCGAAGCUCAUGAAGAGAAAAUUGUUGUACGUCGCGUUGGCUUCAAUUUGAGCUAGAUAUCAGCCAAUAAGGAGAAGAUUUAGUUUGUUUGCUGCACACUUGAGGUUGAGAAAAUAUUGGGCAACAUAUUCGUAUAAACACUAAAGAUUCACCGAGUUCAUAAUGGGCCGGAUAUGAUAUAUGAUAUGAUCAUGCAUAAGGCACAGGUACAAAUAUUAAUUUCGGGGAUCCGCCAACUUAGAAUUUUCACUCAGUUAUUUUGGAAGUGCUCUAUUGUCCCGGAGCCUAGAAUUUCGAUAUAGAUAUUUUGAUGUAUAUAUUUAUUUAUCCAUGGGUAUGGCGGGGUCCUGUCCCGUCAUAUGUUACUGUUGAUAUUCUUAGAGGUCUGUAGACAUAUAUGUGGGUGGUAUAUAGAUGUUGUCCGGUGUACUAGUAUGGCUUAUGUUUUUGGACAUUUACAUUCGGAGUGGAAGCAUUGUCGGCUUACGUAUUAUGUUAUCGUAUUUUUGACAAUUAAGAUUCCCCACGAGAUAGGUGAUUUUGGUAAUAUAUAAGUGACAGUUUGAGACGAUGUGCUGCCCAUAUAAAUCCUGUAUCAUGUUUAAUUGCCGAUUGACUAUAGAUAAUAGGUAUGUAUAUGAGUGUCCAAUUCGGACACUAGUCAUGGCCCACGGGGUUAGGUCGUGACAUUACAUUUGAAUUGUAUUUUUG
Solanum dulcamara is the source of this 774-nucleotide long non-coding RNA. RefSeq lists it as uncharacterized. NCBI's taxonomy places the organism in Eukaryota, Viridiplantae, Streptophyta, Magnoliopsida, Solanales, Solanaceae. The record is from RefSeq and is a predicted model, not a curated record. The transcript has 4 exons.